Long non-coding RNA from Bubalus bubalis (water buffalo), 413 nucleotides. RefSeq lists it as uncharacterized. The transcript has 2 exons. Lineage: Eukaryota; Metazoa; Chordata; Mammalia; Artiodactyla; Bovidae. The record is from RefSeq and is a predicted model, not a curated record.
GGGCAAGAAAGUCCACCAGGAAGUCUACCCCUGCGCGGCUCCUUUGGAAAGAGGUCCGCCGCCGCAGAGAUGAGGACUUUUCGCGACCGCCGGCUGGGGCAAGGGCCAGGGAAACGAGGAUCCUGACCAGGAAUUAGAGACACCGGGAGGAAGGAGGCCAGGAUGGACCAAGCUCAUCCCUAGCUGGUCUCAGCCCGUAUCUCUGUGGAGAAGGCCCCCAGGCCCAGACACGCCAGGUCUUGCUCCUACUGCUGCGUUCCCAUCUCCCCAGCUCAUCAUCUCUAAUCCGAAAUCUACCUCUGACAUCCAGCAAACUUCCUGACAAAGCCUUCUCAGGCCACCCCAGCCCACACUCAGCUGUCCCCUCCCAGAACGCCUCCUGCUUUUAUAAUUAAGACCAUACCGUUCAGUGC